GUAAAUUGCUUAGUGCACCACAUGUGUUUUUCUUUGAAACAAACUUGCUUUGGCGGUGGGCCCAGCCUGCCGCCAGAGGUCUAAACUUACAACCAAUUUUUUAUUAACUUGUCACACCAGAUUAUUACUAAAUAGUCAAAACUUUCAACAACGGAUCUCUUGGUUCUCGCAUCGAUGAAGAACGCAGCGAAAUGCGAUACGUAAUAUGAAUUGCAGAUAUUCGUGAAUCAUCGAAUCUUUGAACGCACAUUGCGCCCUCUGGUAUUCCGGAGGGCAUGCCUGUUUGAGCGUCGUUUCUCCCUCAAACCGCUGGGUUUGGUGUUGAGCAAUACGACUUGGGUUUGCUUGAAAGACGGUAGUGGUAAGGCGGGAUCGCUUUGACAAUGGCUUAGGUCUAACCAAAAACAUUGCUUGCGGCGGUAACGUCUACCACGUAUAUCUUCAAACUUUGACCUCAAAUCAGGUAGGACUACCCGCUGAACUUAAGCAUAUCAAAAGCCGGGAGA
Molecule: ribosomal RNA, 506 nt
Filed under: Candida albicans
Lineage: Eukaryota; Fungi; Ascomycota; Pichiomycetes; Serinales; Debaryomycetaceae
Description: eukaryotic LSU rRNA
Rfam family: 5.8S ribosomal RNA (bases 140-293)
Source: RNAcentral